Molecule: ribosomal RNA, 252 nt
Filed under: uncultured bacterium
Lineage: Bacteria
Description: partial 16S ribosomal RNA
Rfam family: Bacterial small subunit ribosomal RNA
Source: RNAcentral
UACGGAGGAUGCGAGCGUUAUCCGGAUUUAUUGGGUUCAAAGGGUGCGUAGGCGGAUCGUUAAGUCAGUGGUCAAAUUGAGGGGCUCAACCCCUUCCCGCCAUUGAAACUGGCGAUCUUGAGUGGAAGAGAAGUAUGCGGAAUGCGUGGUGUAGCGGUGAAAUGCAUAGAUAUCACGCAGAACCCCGAUUGCGAAGGCAGCAUGCCGGCUUCCUACUGACGCUGAAGCACGAAAGCGUGGGGAUCGAACAGG